RNAcentral lists this ribosomal RNA (497 nucleotides) under uncultured bacterium. RNAcentral's name for it is "partial 16S ribosomal RNA". It matches the Rfam family "Bacterial small subunit ribosomal RNA", at positions 28 to 507 of the family's 1533-position model. The record is from RNAcentral.
GAUGAACGCUGGCGGCGUGCCUAAUACAUGCAAGUAGAACGCUGAAGGAAGGAGCUUGCUCUUUCCAGAUGAGUUGCGAACGGGUGAGUAACGCGUAGGUAACCUGCCUGGUAGCGGGGGAUAACUAUUGGAAACGAUAGCUAAUACCGCAUAACAGUAGAUGUUGCAUGAUAUCUACUUAAAAGGUGCAAUUGCACCACUACCAGAUGGACCUGCGUUGUAUUAGCUAGUUGGUGAGGUAACGGCUCACCAAGGCGACGAUACAUAGCCGACCUGAGAGGGUGAUCGGCCACACUGGGACUGUGACACGGCCCAGACUCCUACGGGAGGCAGCAGUAGGGAAUCUUCGGCAAUGGACGGAAGUCUGACCGAGCAACGCCGCGUGAGUGAAGAAGGUUUUCGGAUCGUAAAGCUCUGUUGUAAGAGAAGAACGAGUGUGAGAGUGGAAAGUUCACACUGUGACGGUAUCUUACCAGAAAGGGACGGCUAACUACGUG